This 253-nucleotide ribosomal RNA is filed under the name uncultured bacterium. RNAcentral's name for it is "partial 16S ribosomal RNA". It matches the Rfam family "Bacterial small subunit ribosomal RNA", at positions 524 to 776 of the family's 1533-position model. The record is from RNAcentral.
UACAGAGGUCUCAAGCGUUGUUCGGAUUCAUUGGGCGUAAAGGGUAUGUAGGUGGCGCCGUAAGUCGGGUGUGAAAUCUCGGGGCUUAACUCCGAAACUGCAUUCGAUACUGCGGUGCUUGAGGACUGGAGAGGAGACUGGAAUUCAUGGUGUAGCAGUGAAAUGCGUAGAGAUCAUGAGGAAGACCAGUGGCGAAGGCGGGUCUCUGGACAGUUCCUGACACUGAGACACGAAGGCCAGGGGAGCAAACGGG